CGCGUAGGCGGGUCGGCAAGUCCGGGGUGAAAGCCCCCAGCUUAACUGGGGAAGGGCCUUGGAAACUGCUGGUCUCGAGGGAGGUAGGGGCAUGUGGAACUUCGGGUGGAGCGGUGAAAUGCGUUGAUAUCCGAAGGAACGCCGGUGGCGAAAGCGACGUGCUGGAUCUCUUCUGACGCUGAGGCGCGAAAGCUAGGGUAGCGAAG
This 206-nucleotide ribosomal RNA is filed under the name uncultured bacterium. RNAcentral describes it as "partial 16S ribosomal RNA". It matches the Rfam family "Bacterial small subunit ribosomal RNA", at positions 568 to 773 of the family's 1533-position model. The record is from RNAcentral.